Molecule: transfer RNA, 73 nt
Filed under: Ovis aries (sheep)
Lineage: Eukaryota; Metazoa; Chordata; Mammalia; Artiodactyla; Bovidae
Rfam family: tRNA
About the family: Transfer RNA (tRNA) molecules are approximately 80 nucleotides in length.
Source: Rfam by way of RNAcentral
UCCCUGGUGGUCCAGUGGUUAAAACUCUGCACUUCCAAUGCAAGGGGUGCAAGUUCGAUCCUUGGUCAGAGAA